This 500-nucleotide ribosomal RNA is filed under the name uncultured bacterium. Its description in RNAcentral is "partial 16S ribosomal RNA". It matches the Rfam family "Bacterial small subunit ribosomal RNA", at positions 30 to 523 of the family's 1533-position model. The record is from RNAcentral.
AUUGAACGCUGGCGGCAUGCCUUACACAUGCAAGUCGAACGGCAGCGGGGACUUCGGUCCGCCGGCGAGUGGCGAACGGGUGAGUAAUGUAUCGGAACGUACCAUUCAGUGGGGGAUAACUAUCCGAAAGGAUAGCUAAUACCGCAUAUUCUGUGAGCAGGAAAGCAGGGGAUCGCAAGACCUUGCGCUGAUUGAGCGGCCGAUAUCAGAUUAGCUAGUUGGUGGGGUAAAGGCUCACCAAGGCGACGAUCUGUAGCGGGUCUGAGAGGAUGAUCCGCCACACUGGAACUGAGACACGGUCCAGACUCCUACGGGAGGCAGCAGUGGGGAAUUUUGGACAAUGGGGGCAACCCUGAUCCAGCCAUGCCGCGUGAGUGAAGAAGGCCUUCGGGUUGUAAAGCUCUUUCGGCCGGGAAAAAGUCGCAUGGGUUAAUACUCUGUGUGGAUGAUGGUACCGGAAUAAGAAGCACCGGCUAACUACGUGCCAGCCGCCGCGGUAA